CGGCCUUGGCUUUAUUGUAAGAUUAAGGAAUGUUCAACUCAGGAAUCGCUUCUUUCAAUAAAUCCAAGAGAGAAGUAAAAGAAGCAUUGCUCCAUCCAUGGAGACACUUCAACAAGUAUAAAUGAAUUGUGAAUGAUAAUUUUGAGAAACCUUUACAACCUGGAUAUAGUUCUUGGCUUGCCUCAUCAACUAAGUUAUAAAAAUCUG
This 207-nucleotide long non-coding RNA is filed under the name Solanum tuberosum (potato). RNAcentral describes it as "long non-coding RNA (STUB_LNC009997)". The record is from RNAcentral. Lineage: Eukaryota; Viridiplantae; Streptophyta; Magnoliopsida; Solanales; Solanaceae.